Molecule: ribosomal RNA, 253 nt
Filed under: uncultured prokaryote
Description: partial 16S ribosomal RNA
Rfam family: Bacterial small subunit ribosomal RNA
Source: RNAcentral
UACGUAGGUGGCGAACGUUAUCCGGAAUUACUGGGCGUAAAGGGUCUGUAGGCGGUCUGAAAGGUCUGGCGUGACAAUUCUCGGCUUGACUGAGAGAGUGCGUUGGAAACCGGUAGACUGGAAUCACGUCGAGGUCGGUGGAAUUCCCGGUGUAGUGGUGGAAUGCGUAGAGAUCGGGAGGAACCCCUAAAGCGAAGGCAGCCGGCUAGACGAUGAUUGACGCUGAGGGACGAUAGCGUGGGGAGCGAACAGG